Molecule: ribosomal RNA, 465 nt
Filed under: uncultured bacterium
Lineage: Bacteria
Description: partial 16S ribosomal RNA
Rfam family: Bacterial small subunit ribosomal RNA
Source: RNAcentral
CCUACGGGUGGCAGCAGUGGGGAAUAUUGCGCAAUGGGCGAAAGCCUGACGCAGCGACGCCGCGUGAGGGAUGAAGGUCUUCGGAUCGUAAACCUCUGUCAGCAGGGAAGAACGGUCACUGUGCUAAUCAGCAGUGAAUUGACGGUACCUGCAAAGGAAGCACCGGCUAACUCCGUGCCAGCAGCCGCGGUAAUACGGAGGGUGCGAGCGUUAAUCGGAAUUACUGGGCGUAAAGCGCUCGUAGGCGGCAUAUUAAGUUAUGUGUGAAAGCCCGCGGCUCAACCGCGGAAUUGCACAUAAAACUGGUAAGCUGGAGUGCAGGAGAGGUAAGUGGAAUUCCCGGUGUAGCGGUGGAAUGCGUAGAUAUCGGGAGGAACACCAGAGGCGAAGGCGACUUACUGGACUGUAACUGACGCUGAGGCUCGAAAGCGUGGGGAGCAAACAGGAUUAGAUACCCCUGUAGUC